AUUCUUUUGUGGUUCAUGAGCAUGAUUGGGUUUUCAUGCCUUUGUGUGAGAUGUGCCGGUCUCAAACCUUACUACACUGCUGACAGGCACAUUAUCCAUCUGACU
Molecule: small nucleolar RNA, 105 nt
Organism: Sciurus vulgaris (Eurasian red squirrel)
Lineage: Eukaryota; Metazoa; Chordata; Mammalia; Rodentia; Sciuridae
Source: Ensembl